Molecule: ribosomal RNA, 301 nt
Filed under: uncultured bacterium
Lineage: Bacteria
Description: partial 16S ribosomal RNA
Rfam family: Bacterial small subunit ribosomal RNA
Source: RNAcentral
CAGUAGCCGCGGGAAUACGGAGGGUGCAAGCGUUAAUCGGAAUUACUGGGCGUAAAGCGCACGCAGGCGGUUUGUUAAGUCAGAUGUGAAAUCCCCGAGCUUAACUUGGGAACUGCAUUUGAAACUGGCAAGCUAGAGUCUUGUAGAGGGGGGUAGAAUUCCAGGUGUAGCGGUGAAAUGCGUAGAGAUCUGGAGGAAUACCGGUGGCGAAGGCGGCCCCCUGGACAAAGACUGACGCUCAGGUGCGAAAGCGUGGGGAGCAAACAGGAUUAGAUACCCGCGUAGUCCCUGUCUCUUAUAU